CAUAAAAGCUUGAAGAAGGGAUCCUAGCAGCCCACCAAUCCCCUUCUGGAUCGAGGUGGUUUGCACCGAGGUUGUGGAGCAGACACAUGCUGCCUAUGAAAUCUCUGCAGUCCUGGAUGAAAACCAACAUGCAGCAAAUUUACCUAGAGAAUCUUCUUUCAGAAUGAUCAAUGCAACAUUCACCAAGCCAAAACUUCACACCACCAUCCACCAUUAAGAAAAAGAAUGCAUCAAUGGUGUACCAAUGUGGGGAAAAAUGGCUUAAUUUGGGACCCACAGCUGUGCUACAAAAGGACUGACUUCAGACUUUCAGAU
Molecule: long non-coding RNA, 315 nt
Organism: Carlito syrichta (Philippine tarsier)
Lineage: Eukaryota; Metazoa; Chordata; Mammalia; Primates; Tarsiidae
Exons: 3
Source: RefSeq, a predicted model, not a curated record